UAGAGUUUGAUCAUGGCUCAGAUUGAACGCUGGCGGCAGGCUUAACACAUGCAAGUCGAGCGGAGAUGAGGUGCUUGCACCUUAUCUUAGCGGCGGACGGGUGAGUAAUGCUUAGGAAUCUGCCUAUUAGUGGGGGACAACAUUUCGAAAGGAAUGCUAAUACCGCAUACGCCCUACGGGGGAAAGCAGGGGAUCUUCGGACCUUGCGCUAAUAGAUGAGCCUAAGUCGGAUUAGCUAGUUGGUGGGGUAAAGGCCUACCAAGGCGACGAUCUGUAGCGGGUCAGAGAGGAUGAUCCGCCACACUGGGACUGAGACACGGCCCAGACUCCUACGGGAGGCAGCAGUGGGGAAUAUUGGACAAUGGGGGGAACCCUGAUCCAGCCAUGCCGCGUGUGUGAAGAAGGCCUUUUGGUUGUAAAGCACUUUAAGCGAGGAGGAGGAGCUCUAGACUAAUACUCUAGAUGCUUGGACGUUACUCGCAGAAUAAGCACCGGCUAACUCUGUGCCAGCAGCCGCGGUAAUACAGAGGGUGCAAGCGUUAAUCGGAUUUACUGGGCGUAAAGCGUGCGUAGGUGGUCUUUUAAGUCGGAUGUGAAAUCCCUGAGCUUAACUUAGGAAUUGCAUUCGAUACUGGGAGACUAGAGUAUGGGAGAGGAUGGUAGAAUUCCAGGUGUAGCGGUGAUUUGCGUAGAGAUCUGGAGGAAUACCGAUGGCGAAGGCAGCCAUCUGGCCUAAUACUGACACUGAGGUACGAAAGCAUGGGGAGCAAACAGGAUUAGAUACC
RNAcentral lists this ribosomal RNA (785 nucleotides) under uncultured Gammaproteobacteria bacterium. RNAcentral's name for it is "bacterial SSU rRNA". It matches the Rfam family "Bacterial small subunit ribosomal RNA", at positions 1 to 786 of the family's 1533-position model. Lineage: Bacteria; Pseudomonadati; Pseudomonadota; Gammaproteobacteria. The record is from RNAcentral.